This is a long non-coding RNA of Lemur catta (Ring-tailed lemur), 2335 nucleotides long. RefSeq lists it as uncharacterized. The transcript is spliced from 4 exons. Lineage: Eukaryota; Metazoa; Chordata; Mammalia; Primates; Lemuridae. The record is from RefSeq and is a predicted model, not a curated record.
AAUACUUUCAGACCAGUUUGGAGGCACUGAGUAGGAGUAAGCUAAAAGAGAAAGAGCAAGACAAAAAGAACACUUGCUUUUGGAGUUUGAAGCUGCACUGGAAACGAGCCUUUCAGGGUGUCUGAAAGAGGAAAGUCUGUCUGUGUGGGAUAAGAAAUGAGGGGAGAUAAAUGGACAGUGGACAGAUUGCCGAGGGCUGUAUGGGCUGAGAUAAGGGUUGUGGGCUAGAUUUUUAAAUUUAGGGCAAAAUAGUGAAGGAUUUUAAGCAUGGAGUGACAGAGAAGAAUACCAGCCUGCAGGAACAGAAGGCAAAGUUCUGUGGUUGCCAUGGAUUGGGGUGGCUCGGUUGGCUUUCGAGGUAAAAGUCUGCAGUUGAGAAGUUCGAGGGUAGUAAGUACUCAAGGCCGGGUAUAACAUAAGAUCAAUCAAAGCUCUUAAGACAUGGAUAUCAUCUUCAGAGUUUUUAGCAAUAGAGGUAGAGAAGAAAAACAGGUGGCUACUGAUAUCCAAGUCCUCCACAAAUACCAGGGAGAGUCAGGAGUUGGACAGAGGAGACGGAUCACGCUGGUUACUGUGAGCCUCAACACUGGUGUUUUUGUUUCAAGGUGGGGGAGAUGUGCUUUGGAGGCACGAUAAGGAAGUAACAGGAAUGUGCCCAUGGAGGAAGGUGGGAGGCUGAGUUGUCUCCUCUUGAGAGGAGUUGAGUUACGUCAAAGUUUAAGGGAAGAAAAUCUAUGAAUUUUCUACCUAAAGGAUUCUAGAAGUAUCAGAGGUAUCCCGGCCUCCUCCAUCUUGAAUAUCUAUUUCCACCUUUGAGUCUGCCUCUUGGAAAUCGUGACCUGAUACACAUGAAGGAAAGCAUUUGCUUGUUCAAUAAGAUCCAAAAAGAAAGGAAGAAGAUAAUCUAUGCAUUCCUGACACUGGUUACCUGGUGCUUUUUUGACUGAGCACCUGAUGGAGCUGUUAGAAUUAAGCUAAGUACCAAGUACGAGGUGACACAGACUGGCCACCCCUUUUUGGGUAGUGCUCAGGAGGAACAGAUGACUCACCCUGGUGUGGACUGGGGGGUGAGGAACCUGGCUCCAUCUUGGAACACUGGCUUAUUUUGGGUGAGAAAGAACGGACAGAUUCACUCAUUCUCCACCCAGCUCUGAGUGUCUCAACUGAGAGUAAGAAGCGGCUUAGCAGAGAAGGGCAAAGGCUGUAUCUCGAUUCCAUGCUGGGUUUCCCUCGCACUUUCCAUUCAGGUCUCAGGGUGUAUGUCUGGGACCCCUCAUGUCCCUCAGGGUUGCUCGUAACGUUCAUUUGUCCAGCACCCCCUGGAUGGAAAUGCUAGGGAGACCUGCCUGGUUUCACACCUCUCAUGUGGAAAGAUCAGCGUGCCAGACGUUGCCCUCGGUUUGUAGCUGGAGGAGUCUCCAGCUGAAAAGCAAGGGGUCUGGGGCAGAGGGCUCAUGGACGUCACCUGAAUAGAGGUCACACCUACACUAGCAGGUUUAGAACCUGUGACUUGGAAAUUUCAGAAAAUAAUAAUAAGAUUUUCUGGCUUUUCUGCCUUAGGGAACGUGCAGACAGACUCGAGCAGAAAUCUUGCCUUGCCCCAGCCAGCCCACUUUUCUCUCCACAAGGAAAGAGCUGGUUAAGGCGCCAGCCAGGAACCAUUUCACCAGCGUUCACCUCCACGCAUGCCCCGUCCAUCAGCCUCUCUGCGAAGAGGAAACCUCAGCACUAGAAAAGGAGACAGAUGCUGCCAUGGACGCCUUCCCGCCUUCAAGGGAGGUGAUGUAACACAAAGGACUUGAACGUUCCACCCUACAUGUGAGGAAACACGCCUAAGAUGGAGCGAGUGGCCUAAAAUCUCCAGCCAGUGAGUGACGAGCGAAGAAAGAGAACUCUAGUCCUCCAGCGCAGGGAGGUUUCUCAUUCCAGCACAUCGAAAUGCAGGAAGAACAUUUCCUCUACCUGGACAUUGAAGGAGAGAAUGGGAUCAAGGUCACUCAGGGAAGGCGUCCUGGCUGGCCAGAGAGGAGGCUCCUCCCAAGUCUCCACCUUGGUACAGUCACUGUCAACACCUGCCCCACAGUCUCAGAAUCCUGGAUUGUCUGAAAUCCAAGAAGGGAAUUCAACCCUCCCAGGCACAGGGACCUUACUGGGCCCAGCCUCUCCUGGCAGCUCGUCCCCCUGCAGAGAAUCAGGAGAAAAUGGGUGCGUGUACUUGUGUAUGUGUGUGUGUACUUGUGUGUGUGUAUUUAGUCACACAAUUAAAAUAUUAAGCAAAAUCAAGUUAAGAGUAACCUGAUUUGUACCCCUGAGAAUUGGGCCAUUUUGAGGGUUA